GAUGAAGAACGUAGCGAAAUGCGAUACGUAAUGUGAAUUGCAGAAUUCAGUGAAUCAUCGAAUCUUUGAACGCACAUUGCGCCCCCCAGUAUUCUGGCGGGCAUGCCUGUUCGAGCGUCAUUUCAACCAUCAAGCCCUGCUUGUGUUGGGGUCCUGCGGCUGCCCGCAGGCCCUGAAAACCAGUGGCGGGCUCGCUAGUCACACCGAGCGCAGUAGCACAUCUCGCUCAGGGCGUGCGGCGGGCUCCAGCCGUUAAAGCACCCACCUUUCGCAAGGUUGACCUCGGAUCAGGUAGGAAUACCCGCUGAACUUAAGCAUAUCAAUAAGCGGAGGA
RNAcentral lists this unclassified non-coding RNA (334 nucleotides) under soil metagenome. RNAcentral's name for it is "partial contains 5.8S ribosomal RNA, internal transcribed spacer 2, and large subunit ribosomal RNA". The stretch from base 1 to 120 matches the Rfam family "5.8S ribosomal RNA", at positions 35 to 154 of the family's 154-position model. The record is from RNAcentral.